RNAcentral lists this transfer RNA (71 nucleotides) under bacterium. Its description in RNAcentral is "tRNA-Pro". It matches the Rfam family "tRNA". Rfam says of the family: Transfer RNA (tRNA) molecules are approximately 80 nucleotides in length. The record is from RNAcentral.
CAGGGUAUGGUGAAGCGGUAUCAUUCAUGGUUUGGAAUCAUGCGUUGUAGGUUCAACUCCUACUACCCUGA